AAGUCGUAACAAGGUCUCCGUAGUGAACCUGCGGAGGAUCAUUACCGAGAGAGGGCGCUCGCGCGCCCGACCUCCCAACCCUCUGUCGACCGUACCGCGUUGCCUCGGGUGGCCCUCGCGGCGCCCCGAGGACGCCAAUCGAAACUCUGCGUCUCAUGCGUCGGAGUCAUUAUGUGAAUCAAUCAAACUUUCAACAACGGAUCUCUUGGUUCUGCAUCGAUGAAGAACGCAGCGAAAUGCGAUAAGUAAUGUGAAUUGCAGAAUUCAGUGAAUCAUCGAAUCUUUGAACGCACAUUGCGCCCCUGGCAUUCCGGGGGCAUGCCGUUCGAGGUCAUUACACCACUCAAGCCUGGCUUGGUAUUGGCGUCGGAGCACCCCGCGCCUCUAUGUUGUCGCUGGACGGUCUGAUCUCAGCGUGUGCAAUCAAUCGCUGUGGACGACGGACGCGCCGUAAAAUCUCAUCACAGGUUGACCUCGGAUCGGUAGGAUACCGCGUG
This 497-nucleotide ribosomal RNA is filed under the name uncultured fungus. Its description in RNAcentral is "eukaryotic LSU rRNA". The stretch from base 186 to 334 matches the Rfam family "5.8S ribosomal RNA". The record is from RNAcentral. Lineage: Eukaryota; Fungi.